Molecule: ribosomal RNA, 445 nt
Filed under: Bacillus sp. (in: firmicutes)
Lineage: Bacteria; Bacillati; Bacillota; Bacilli; Caryophanales; Bacillaceae
Description: bacterial SSU rRNA
Rfam family: Bacterial small subunit ribosomal RNA
Source: RNAcentral
GCAGUCGAGCGGACAGAUGGGAGCUUGCUCCCUGAUGUCAGCGGCGGACGGGUGAGUAACACGUGGGUAACCUGCCUGUAAGACUGGGAUAACUCCGGGAAACCGGGGCUAAUACCGGAUGCUUGAUUGAACCGCAUGGUUCAAUUAUAAAAGGUGGCUUUUAGCUACCACUUACAGAUGGACCCGCGGCGCAUUAGCUAGUUGGUGAGGUAACGGCUCACCAAGGCAACGAUGCGUAGCCGACCUGAGAGGGUGAUCGGCCACACUGGGACUGAGACACGGCCCAGACUCCUACGGGAGGCAGCAGUAGGGAAUCUUCCGCAAUGGACGAAAGUCUGACGGAGCAACGCCGCGUGAGUGAUGAAGGUUUUCGGAUCGUAAAACUCUGUUGUUNNNGAAGAACAAGUACCGUUCGAAUAGGGCGGUACCUUGACGGUACCUAACC